Long non-coding RNA from Mya arenaria, 489 nucleotides. RefSeq lists it as uncharacterized. The transcript is spliced from 3 exons. Lineage: Eukaryota; Metazoa; Mollusca; Bivalvia; Myida; Myidae. The record is from RefSeq and is a predicted model, not a curated record.
CUUGAUUGAAACUGCGAAAUAAGACAACCUGAAAUACACAGAGGCUCAGCAAAAUGCAGUAGGACGAAAUGUGAGUCAUUGGUUCGGAUACGGCCUCAUUGACGUCGAAGCGAUGGUUCAAAGAGCUCCAACGUGGCAGAGUCUUCCAGAGCAACAUUCGUGUCACACUCAAGUGAAAUAUGAAAUGAAAACGGUCAAACCUAAAGACACUGUACGUGUGGUGCAGAGCCAAAUAUACACGGACGGGUGUAACGACACCACUUAUUGUGUUAACAGAGUUGAACAUGUAGAGGCAUAUAUAGAGUUUUCAUACACAACUAGAGGAAUUAUUGAACUAAUUCUAGAAUCUCCAAGCGGGACUGUGAGCACGCUUUUGAAUACGAGGGGCUCGGAUUCAAUGAAAAAUUCAGAACAAAAAUGGACAUAUAUGUCGGUACAUCAUUGGAGUGAAAAUCCAUUUGGAACGUGGAAACUUAACUUAUCGGUCAA